UACGUAGGGUGCAAGCGUUAAUCGGAAUUACUGGGCGUAAAGCGUGCGCAGGCGGUCUUGCAAGACAGAUGUGAAAUCCCCGGGCUCAACCUGGGAACUGCAUUUGUGACUGCAAGGCUGGAGUACGGUAGAGGGGGAUGGAAUUCCGCGUGUAGCAGUGAAAUGCGUAGAUAUGCGGAGGAACACCGAUGGCGAAGGCAAUCCCCUGGGAUAACACUGACGCUCAUGCACGAAAGCGUGGGGAGCAAACAGG
This 253-nucleotide ribosomal RNA is filed under the name uncultured bacterium. RNAcentral describes it as "partial 16S ribosomal RNA". It matches the Rfam family "Bacterial small subunit ribosomal RNA", at positions 524 to 776 of the family's 1533-position model. The record is from RNAcentral.